RNAcentral lists this ribosomal RNA (330 nucleotides) under uncultured eukaryote. RNAcentral describes it as "partial 18S ribosomal RNA". It matches the Rfam family "Eukaryotic small subunit ribosomal RNA", at positions 1470 to 1796 of the family's 1831-position model. The record is from RNAcentral.
CCCUUAGAUGUUCGGGGCCGCACGCGCGCUACACUGAAGGAAUCAGCACGUCUUUCUCCUUGUCCGAAAGGACUGGGUAACCCGCUGAACCUCCUUCGUGCUAGGGAUUGGGGCUUGUAAUUCUUCCCCAUGAACGAGGAAUUCCCAGUAAGCGCGAGUCAUAAGCUCGCGUUGAUUACGUCCCUGCCCUUUGUACACACCGCCCGUCGCUACUACCGAUUGGAUGGUUUAGUGAGAUCCUCGGAUUGGUCCCGGAGCGGCCUCUGGUCGUGCCGGAGUGCCGAAAAGAAUGUCGAACUUGAUCAUCUAGAGGAAGUAAAAGGCGUAACA